AUGAACAUUGCCCUCCUCUCCCGCUGGCUCUGGCGCAUCUCACAAGGGCAUGGCGGGCUGGGUUUAGACAUCAUCUGGAACAAAUACUUGCGUGGCCAACCUCUGGCCUUCUGCCAACGUUCGGGUGGGUCCUAGUUCUGGCAGUCGGUCAUCCAACUGCUCCCCGUCCUCCGCAUUGGGACUUCCAUUCCGGUCAGAUCGGGAGCAGCGACCCUGUUCUGGUUUGACCGAUGGGCGGGCGACGCCCCCUUCGCAGCCCGCUUCCCCGAUCUCUUCUCCAUCGUUGUCAUCCCAACGAUCUCAGUUCAACAGGCCCUUAUUGACUUAGGGCGCCUCAUGUUUCGGAGGCCAUUUGGGCCUCCGGAAGUUGCCGCCUGGCAUGAGCUGCUUGAUCGCAUUGCUCUCCAUGAGCCGUCUGUCGAUGCAGGCCCGGAUGAGGUUCGGUGGCGCCUUGAGCCUUCGCGCCAAUUCUCCACCAAGUCCCUCUACUCGGUGAUCGCCCCCUCCUCCAUCCCACCACCCCUCCAGACGGUGUUGUCCGUUCAUCUGCCCCUAAAAAUCCAGAUCUUCAUGUGGCAAUGGAUCCGCGGUCGGCUCCCGUCUGGAGUUGAGGUCCGCAAGCGCAAUGGCCCAAGGUCUGGCCUAUGCCCUCUCUGUGAUACCCCCGAAGACUCGAACCACAUCUUCUUCGCCUGCGUGUAUGCUCAGUUCAUGUGGAGCUGCUUUAGGGAGGCGGUUGGUGGAGAUUGGUGCCACUCCAACUUCCCCGACCUUUUCGCCGAACUCCAGACCUCCCCGCUGACCACUCGCCACAUUAGGUAG
This 822-nucleotide ribosomal RNA is filed under the name Triticum aestivum (bread wheat). Its description in RNAcentral is "partial small subunit ribosomal RNA". Lineage: Eukaryota; Viridiplantae; Streptophyta; Magnoliopsida; Poales; Poaceae. The record is from RNAcentral.